RNAcentral lists this long non-coding RNA (203 nucleotides) under Mytilus galloprovincialis (Mediterranean mussel). Lineage: Eukaryota; Metazoa; Mollusca; Bivalvia; Mytilida; Mytilidae. The record is from RNAcentral.
AAAAUUAAAAAAAAAAAUAGAAUAAUGUUUUAAAAAAAUUCACGAAGUUACUAAAAGGAAGCUCAAAGCCUUGCUGAAUUUAAAUCUUGCCUUUUUAGCUCACCUGGCCCAAAGGGCCAAGUGAGCUUUUCCCAUCACUUUGCAUCCGGCGUCGUCUGUCGUCGCUAACUUUUACAAAAAUCUUCUCCUCUGAAACUACUGGG